GGAGGCAAGCAGUGGGGAAUAUUGCACAAUGGGCGAAAGCCUGAUGCAGCCAUGCCGCGUGUAUGAAGAAGGCCUUCGGGUUGUAAAGUACUUUCAGCAGGGAAAGAAAGGUGAUCAGGUUAAAAACCCUAGAAAAUUGACGGUACCGCAGAAAAGCCCGAACCCCC
This 167-nucleotide ribosomal RNA is filed under the name Shewanella sp. NC275. RNAcentral's name for it is "partial 16S ribosomal RNA". It matches the Rfam family "Bacterial small subunit ribosomal RNA", at positions 343 to 501 of the family's 1533-position model. Lineage: Bacteria; Pseudomonadati; Pseudomonadota; Gammaproteobacteria; Alteromonadales; Shewanellaceae. The record is from RNAcentral.